This 873-nucleotide ribosomal RNA is filed under the name uncultured bacterium. RNAcentral describes it as "bacterial SSU rRNA". It matches the Rfam family "Bacterial small subunit ribosomal RNA", at positions 8 to 912 of the family's 1533-position model. The record is from RNAcentral.
AGAGUUUGAUCAUGGCUCAGGAUGAACGCUGGCGGCGUGCCUAACACAUGCAAGUCGAACGAACCCGCAAGGGUUAGUGGCGAACGGGUGAGUAACACGUAGGUAAUCUGCCCUGUUGUGGGGAAUAACUACUGGAAGCGGUAGCUAAUACCGCAUGAGAUCGCCGGGCAACUGGUGAUGAAAGCCGAAAGGCGCAGCAGGAGGAGCCUGCGGCCCAUCAGGUAGUUGGUAGGGUAAUGGCCUACCAAGCCGAUGACGGGUAGCUGGUCUGAGAGGAUGGUCAGCCACACUGGAACUGAAACACGGUCCAGACUCCUACGGGAGGCAGCAGUGAGGAAUAUUGCGCAAUGGGCGAAAGCCUGACGCAGCAACGCCGCGUGGGUGAAGAAGGCCUUCGGGUCGUAAAACCCUUUUCUGGGGGACGAGGAAGGACGGUACCUCAGGAAUAAGUCUCGGCUAACUACGUGCCAGCAGCCGCGGUAAAACGUAGGAGGCAAGCGUUAUCCGGAUUUACUGGGCGUAAAGCGCAUGCAGGUGGCACUACAAGUCUGAUGUGAAAGCCCCUGGCUUAACUAGGGGAGUGCGUUGGAAACUGUAGAGCUGGAGGUCGGAAGAGGAAAGCGGAAUUCCCGGUGUAGUGGUGGAAUGCGUAGAUAUCGGGAGGAACACCAGUGGCGAAGGCGGCUUUCUGGUCCGGACCUGACACUAAGAUGCGAAAGCGUGGGGAGCGAACGGGAUUAGAUACCCCGGUAGUCCACGCUGUAAACCAUGGGUACUGGGUAUCGGUGGUAUUGACCCCAUCGGUGCCGAAGCCAACGCGUUAAGUACCCCGCCUGGGGACUACGGCCGCAAGGUUACAACUCAAAGGAAUUG